GACGAACGCUGGCGGCGUGCCUAAUACAUGCAAGUAGAACGCUGAAGAGAGGAGCUUGCUCUUCUUGGAUGAGUUGCGAACGGGUGAGUAACGCGUAGGUAACCUGCCUUGUAGCGGGGGAUAACUAUUGGAAACGAUAGCUAAUACCGCAUAACAAUGGAUGACCCAUGUCAUUUAUUUGAAAGUGGCAAAUGCUCCACUACAAGAUGGACCUGCGUUGUAUUAGCUAGUAGGUGAGGUAACGGCGCACCUAGGCGACGAUACAUAGCCGACCCGAGAGGGGGAUCGGCCAAGCUGGGACGGGGACACGGCCCAGCAUCCUGCGAGAGGCAGCAGUAGGGAAUCUUCGGCAAUGGGAGCAACGCUGAACGAGCAACGCCGCGGGAGUGAAGAAGGCUGUCGGGUCGUAAAGGUCUGUUGUGAGUUAAGAACGAAUGUGAGAGUGGAAAGUUCACACUGUGACGGUAGCUUACCAGAAAGAUACGGCUAACUACGUG
RNAcentral lists this ribosomal RNA (497 nucleotides) under uncultured bacterium. RNAcentral describes it as "partial 16S ribosomal RNA". It matches the Rfam family "Bacterial small subunit ribosomal RNA", at positions 28 to 507 of the family's 1533-position model. The record is from RNAcentral.